AUGGAGCCGACCUUGAAAUACCACCCUUUAAUGUUUGAUGUUCUAACGUUGACCCGUAAUCCGGGUUGCGGACAGUGUCUGGUGGGUAGUUUGACUGGGGCGGUCUCCUCCUAAAGAGUAACGGAGGAGCACGAAGGUUGGCUAAUCCUGGUCGGACAUCAGGAGGUUAGUGCAAUGGCAUAAGCCAGCUUGACUGCGAGCGUGACGGCGCGAGCAGGUGCGAAAGCAGGUCAUAGUGAUCCGGUGGUUCUGAAUGGAAGGGCCAUCGCUCAACGGAUAAAAGGUACUCCGGGGAUAACAGGCUGAUACCGCCCAAGAGUUCAUAUCGACGGCGGUGUUUGGCACCUCGAUGUCGGCUCAUCACAUCCUGGGGCUGAAGUAGGUCCCAAGGGUAUGGCUGUUCGCCAUUUAAAGUGGUACGCGAGCUGGGUUUAGAACGUCGUGAGACAGUUCGGUCCCUAUCUGCCGUGGGCGCUGGAGAACUGAGGGGGGCUGCUCCUAGUACGAGAGGACCGGAGUGGACGCAUCACUGGUGUUCGGGUUGUCAUGCCAAUGGCACUGCCCGGUAGCUAAAUGCGGAAGAGAUAAGUGCUGAAAGCAUCUAAGCACGAAACUUGCCCCGAGAUGAGUUCUCCCUGACUCCUUGAGAGUCCUGAAGGAACGUUGAA
RNAcentral lists this ribosomal RNA (668 nucleotides) under Escherichia coli. RNAcentral describes it as "partial 23S ribosomal RNA". It matches the Rfam family "Bacterial large subunit ribosomal RNA", at positions 2180 to 2842 of the family's 2925-position model. Lineage: Bacteria; Pseudomonadati; Pseudomonadota; Gammaproteobacteria; Enterobacterales; Enterobacteriaceae. The record is from RNAcentral.